GACUACCAGGGUAUCUAAUCCUGUUUGCUCCCCACACUUUCGUACCUCAGCGUCAGUAUCGAGCCAGUAAGCCGCCUUCGCCACUGGUGUUCCUCCAAAUAUCUACGAAUUUCACCUCUACACUUGGAAUUCCACUUACCUCUCUCGAACUCAAGACCAGGAGUUUAUGAGGCAGUUCCAGGGUUAAGCCCUGGGAUUUCACCCCAUACUUUCUGAUCCGCCUACGUACGCUUUACGCCCAGUAAUUCCGAACAACGCUAGCCCCCUCCGUAUUACCGCGGCUGCUGGCACGGAGUUAGCCGGGGCUUCUUUACUAGGUACUGUCAUUAUCAUCCCUAGCGAAAGAGCUUUACGAUCCUAAGACCUUCAUCACUCACGCGGCAUGGCUAGAUCAGGCUUUCGCCCAUUGUCUAAGAUUCCCCACUGCUGCCUCCCGUAGGAGUCUGGGCCGUGUCUCAGUCCCAGUGUUGCUGAUCAUCCUCUAAAACCAGCUAAAGAUCGUAGACUUGGUAGGCCAUUACCCCACCAACUAUCUAAUCUUACGCGGGCCAAUCCCUCACCGAUAAAUCUUUCCCCCGAAGGGCGUAUAUGGUAUUACUCUCAGUUUCCCGAGGCUAUUCCAUAGAAAGGGGUAUGUUCCCACGCGUUACUAACCCGUCCGCCGCUCCACCCGAAGGUAGCGCUCGACUUGCAUGUGUUAGGCCUGCCGCCAGCGUUCGUUCUGAGCCAGGAUCAAACUCU
This 741-nucleotide ribosomal RNA is filed under the name uncultured bacterium. Its description in RNAcentral is "partial 16S ribosomal RNA". The record is from RNAcentral.